GACGAACGCUGGCGGCGUGCUUAACACAUGCAAGUCGAACGGAAAGGCCCUGCUUUUGUGGGGUGCUCGAGUGGCGAACGGGUGAGUAACACGUGAGUAACCUGCCCUUGACUUUGGGAUAACUUCAGGAAACUGGGGCUAAUACCGGAUAGGAGCUCCUGCUGCAUGGUGGGGGUUGGAAAGUUUCGGCGGUUGGGGAUGGACUCGCGGCUUAUCAGCUUGUUGGUGGGGUAGUGGCUGACCACGGCUUUGACGGGUAGCCGGCCUGAGAGAGUGACCGGCGACAUUGGGACUGAGAUACGGCGCAGACUACUACGGGAGGCAGCAGUGGGGAAUAUUGCACAAUGGGCGGAAGCAUGAUGCAGCAACGCCGCGUGCGGGAUGACGGCCUUCGGGUUGUAAACCGCUUUCGCCUGUGACGAAGCGUGAGUGACGGUAAUGGGUAAAGAAGCACCGGCUAACUACGUG
Molecule: ribosomal RNA, 468 nt
Filed under: uncultured bacterium
Lineage: Bacteria
Description: partial 16S ribosomal RNA
Rfam family: Bacterial small subunit ribosomal RNA
Source: RNAcentral